GGCGGCGUGCUUAACACAUGCAAGUCGAACGAAGAGCGAUGGAAGCUUGCUUCUAUCAAUCUUAGUGGCGAAUGGGUGAGUAACGCGUAAUCAACCUGCCCUUCAGAGGGGGACAACAGUUGGAAACGACUGCUAAUACCGCAUACGAUCUAACCUUGGCAUCGAGGAUGGAUGAAAGGUGGCCUCUAUUUAUAAGCUAUCACUGAAGGAGGGGAUUGCGUCUGAUUAGCUAGUUGGAGGGGUAACGGCCCACCAAGGCGAUGAUCAGUAGCCGGUCUGAGAGGAUGAACGGCCACAUUGGGACUGAGACACGGCCCAGACUCCUACGGGAGGCAGCAGUGGGGAAUCUUCCGCAAUGGACGAAAGUCUGACGGAGCAACGCCGCGUGAGUGAUGACGGCCUUCGGGUUGUAAAGCUCUGUUAAUCGGGACGAAAGGCCUUCUUGCGAAUAGUGAGAAGGAUUGACG
This 467-nucleotide ribosomal RNA is filed under the name Veillonella dispar. Its description in RNAcentral is "bacterial SSU rRNA". It matches the Rfam family "Bacterial small subunit ribosomal RNA", at positions 38 to 474 of the family's 1533-position model. The record is from RNAcentral. Lineage: Bacteria; Bacillati; Bacillota; Negativicutes; Veillonellales; Veillonellaceae.